RNAcentral lists this ribosomal RNA (433 nucleotides) under uncultured bacterium. RNAcentral describes it as "partial 16S ribosomal RNA". It matches the Rfam family "Bacterial small subunit ribosomal RNA", at positions 29 to 507 of the family's 1533-position model. The record is from RNAcentral.
AACGAACGCUGGCGGCAUGCCUAACACAUGCAAGUCGAACGAGACCUUCGGGUCUAGUGGCGCACGGGUGCGUAACGCGUGGGAACCUGCCCUUAGGUUCGGAAUAACUCCCCGAAAGGGGUGCUAAUACCGGAUAAUGUCUUCGGACCAAAGACUUAUCGCCUUUGGAUGGGCCCGCGUUGGAUUAGCUAGUUGGUAGGGUAAAAGCCUACCAAGGCGACGAUCCAUAGCUGGUCUGAGAGGAUGAUCAGCCACACUGGGACUGAGACACGGCCCAGACUCCUACGGGAAGCAGCAGUGGGGAAUAUUGGACAAUGGGCGAAAGCCUGAUCCAGCAAUGCCGCGUGAGUGAUGAAGGCCUUAGGGUUGUAAAGCUCUUUUACCCGGGAUGAUAAUGACAGUACCGGGAGAAUAAGCUCCGGCUAACUCCGUG